CUCGUAGGCGGUUCAGUAAGUCGGCUGUGAAAUUCCGAGGCUCAACCUCGGAACUGCAGUCGAUACUAUUGUGACUAGAGUCCGGUAGAGGAGAAUGGAAUUCCCGGUGUAGCGGUGAAAUGCGCAGAUAUCGGGAGGAACACCAGUAGCGAAGGCGGUUCUCUGGGCCGGUACUGACGCUGAGGAGCGAAAGCGUGGGAGCAAACA
This 207-nucleotide ribosomal RNA is filed under the name uncultured bacterium. RNAcentral's name for it is "partial 16S ribosomal RNA". It matches the Rfam family "Bacterial small subunit ribosomal RNA", at positions 568 to 774 of the family's 1533-position model. The record is from RNAcentral.